UUUAUAUAGUAUAAAACCUAUUACAAUUAAUUUCCAAUUAAAAAAUUUAAAUAAAAUUAAUAUAAAUAA
Molecule: transfer RNA, 69 nt
Filed under: Leptomyrmex pallens
Lineage: Eukaryota; Metazoa; Arthropoda; Insecta; Hymenoptera; Formicidae
Description: tRNA-Gly
Source: RNAcentral